CCUACGGGGGGCUGCAGUAGGGAAUCUUGCGCAAUGGGCGAAAGCCUGACGCAGCAAUGCCGCGUGCGGGACGAAGGCCCUAGGGUCGUAAACCGCUUUCAGUAGGGACGAAAAUGACGGUACCUGCAGAAGAAGCUCCGGCCAACUACGUGCCAGCAGCCGCGGUGAUACGUAGGGAGCAAGCGUUGUCCGGAAUUACUGGGCGUAAAGGGCUCGUAGGUGGUUGAGUAAGUCAGAUGUGAAAUCUCAGGGCCCAACCCUGAGCGUGCAUUUGAUACUGCUCUGACUAGAGUCCGGUAGGGGAGUGCGGAAUUCCUGGUGUAGCGGUGAAAUGCGCAGAUAUCAGGAGGAACACCGACAGCGAAGGCAGCACUCUGGGCCGGUACUGACACUGAGGAGCGAAAGCGUGGGUAGCAAACAGGAUUAGAUACCCGUGUAGUC
This 441-nucleotide ribosomal RNA is filed under the name uncultured Candidatus Nemicrothrix sp. RNAcentral's name for it is "bacterial SSU rRNA". It matches the Rfam family "Bacterial small subunit ribosomal RNA", at positions 338 to 795 of the family's 1533-position model. The record is from RNAcentral. Lineage: Bacteria; Bacillati; Actinomycetota; Acidimicrobiia; Acidimicrobiales; Microthrixaceae.